This 493-nucleotide ribosomal RNA is filed under the name uncultured bacterium. Its description in RNAcentral is "bacterial SSU rRNA". It matches the Rfam family "Bacterial small subunit ribosomal RNA", at positions 903 to 1397 of the family's 1533-position model. The record is from RNAcentral.
AAAUGAAUAGACGGGGACCCGCACAAGCGGUGGAGCAUGUGGUUUAAUUCGAAGCAACGCGAAGAACCUUACCAGGUCUUGACAUACUCGUGCAAUUCUCAGAGAUGAGAAGUUCCUUCGGGACACGGGAUACAGGUGGUGCAUGGUUGUCGUCAGCUCGUGUCGUGAGAUGUUGGGUUAAGUCCCGCAACGAGCGCAACCCUUAUGUUUAGUUGCCAUCAUUCAGUUGGGCACUCUAGACAGACUGCCGGGGAUAACUCGGAGGAAGGUGGGGAUGACGUCAAAUCAUCAUGCCCCUUAUGACCUGGGCUACACACGUGCUACAAUGGAUAGUACAACGAGCAGCGAACCGGCGACGGUAAGCGAAUCUCUUAAAACUAUUCUCAGUUCGGAUUGUAGGCUGCAACUCGCCUACAUGAAGUCGGAAUCGCUAGUAAUCGCGGAUCAGCACGCCGCGGUGAAUACGUUCCCGGGUCUUGUACACACCGCCCGU